Papilio xuthus (Asian swallowtail) is the source of this 409-nucleotide long non-coding RNA. RefSeq lists it as uncharacterized. Lineage: Eukaryota; Metazoa; Arthropoda; Insecta; Lepidoptera; Papilionidae. The record is from RefSeq and is a predicted model, not a curated record. The transcript is spliced from 3 exons.
ACUCACUAGAGUAUCUUUGCAAUGUUCGCAAAACAAUAGCGCUGCCAUUUCAAGAUAUAAAUUAAGGAAAUUGAAAUGUGGAAGGACGUUUCAUUUUGUGAUGUUUGUUUUUUUUACAGUUUCAUAAAAAUUGUUAGACAAUGGAAAUAUGAAAUCUUUGUAUACAUAUAAAAGCCUUAAGGCUUAAUGAUAUCUCUAGAGCGGCGAAACGGAUCUCGAGGAAAUUUGGCAUAAACGUUGAAUACAGUGCGGAAGGACACAUAGGCUAGCUACACUCCUGGAAAUGUAUACGGCUCCCGUGGGAUACAUUUGAUUAUCAUAUUUACUCCAUAACUGAGCAACGUUGUUACUCACCUGCGGCCCGGGCCUCCUUGCAAGCAAGCACCAUACUGUGGCGAACGUCGGGGUU